GCCGGCUCACUUCACGAAAAGGUGAAAGUGAAAGCGGGUGCCCGGUGCGAUACGUGCGUGGCGUUGUUACAACAUCACCCUACAUUCCAUCGACACAGGAUUUGGUGAGUACCCGUAUCACAGGUCACAUCGUGGGACAGACACCGCUGGAGCACCUCUUCGGAAAAGGUAGAGUGAAAGAUUCGCUUUCCUAGGCGUUAGGGCGAUAGGAUGCACUGCUAACGAUCGUUGCCUUUCAGAUAUACUAACGAACGUUCUAGUCUUUCCCAGAACAGCAAUGAACUUGUCAGUGUGUUGUGGUGGAGACCAGAUGAGAACUCGUGGCGGUGAAGGAACAUGGUGGUCGUGGCGGGCGUGCUGCAUUCAUACGCGUUGUGUUUGGGAGGGAUGCAUUCACUUCUGUUAGUCCUGCUGAGUGCGUGUCGUGAAGAGAUUAGCGGAAAACAUCAAGGUCAGGUGUAGAAGAGGAUAUUCAGAUGGAAGGCGGGAAAUCUCACGGCAUUUGGAAAGGUGAGGAAAGGGUUCUUGUCUUUCUGGUAAGGGAAGAAGGUAAGAUUAAUAAUGUUCUCUUACAGAUCACACUAAUUAACUUUCUUACAGAUUUAGUAAAGAAAGGAAGGUAAGACUAACCAUAUUUAUUUGCAGGUUAAACUAAUUCUCUCCAUUACAGGUCAAAACUAAUUAUUUCUCACUUGCAGGUCAAACUAAUAUUUUUCUUGCAGGUCAAUGUAAUUCCUUUUCUUUUGCAGCUAUAACCAAUCCCUUCUUUUGCAGCUAUAACCAAUCCCUUUUCUUUUACAGCUAUAACCAAUCCCUUUUCUUUUGCAGCUAUAACCAAUCCCUUCUUUUGCAGCUAUAACCAAUCCCUUUUCUUUUGCAGCUAUAACCAAUCCCUUUUCUUUUGCAGCUAUAACCAAUCCCUUUUCUCUUGCAGCUAUAACCAAUCCCUUCUUUUGCAGCUAUAACCAAUCCCUUCUUUUGCAGCUAUAACCAAUCCCUUCUUUUGCAGCUAUAACCAAUCCCUUUUCUCUUGCAGCUAUAACCAAUCCCUUCUUUUGCAGCUAUAACCAAUCCCUUCUUUUGCAGCUAUAACCAAUCCCUUCUUUUGCAGCUAUAACCAAUCCCUUCUUUUGCAGCUAUAACCAAUCCCUUUUCUUUUGCAGCUAUAACCAAUCCCUUCUUUUGCAGCUAUAACCAAUCCCUUCUUUUGCAGCUAUAACCAAUCCCUUUUCUUUUGCAGCUAUAACCAAUCCCUUCUUUUGCAGCUAUAACCAAUCCCUUUUCUUUUGCAGCUAUAACCAAUCCCUUCUUUUGCAGCUAUAACCAAUCCCUUCUUUUGCAGCUAUAACCAAUCCCUUCUUUUGCAGCUAUAACCAAUCCCUUUUCUCUUGCAGCUAUAACCAAUCCCUUUUCUCUUGCAGCUAUAACCAAUCCCUUUUCUCUUGCAGCUAUAACCAAUCCCUUCUUUUGCAGCUAUAACCAAUCCCUUCUUUUGCAGCUAUAACCAAUCCCUUCUUUUGCAGCUAUAACCAAUCCC
Long non-coding RNA from Portunus trituberculatus (swimming crab), 1537 nucleotides. RefSeq lists it as uncharacterized. The transcript has 3 exons. The record is from RefSeq and is a predicted model, not a curated record. NCBI's taxonomy places the organism in Eukaryota, Metazoa, Arthropoda, Malacostraca, Decapoda, Portunidae.